This 466-nucleotide ribosomal RNA is filed under the name uncultured Chloroflexota bacterium. RNAcentral describes it as "bacterial SSU rRNA". It matches the Rfam family "Bacterial small subunit ribosomal RNA", at positions 355 to 836 of the family's 1533-position model. Lineage: Bacteria; Bacillati; Chloroflexota. The record is from RNAcentral.
UGAGGAAUAUUGAGCAAUGGGCGCAAGCCUGACUCAGCAACGCCGCGUGGAUGAAGAAGGCCUUCGGGUUGUAAAAUCCUUUUCUGGGGGAAGAUGAUGACGGUACCCCAGGAAUAAGUUCCGGCUAACUACGUGCCAGCAGCCGCGGUAAAACGUAGGGGACGAGCGUUAUCCGGAUUUACUGGGCGUAAAGCGCAUGUAGGUGGCUUGCCAAGUUGGACGUGAAAGCUCCCGGCUUAACUGGGAGAGGUCGUUCAAAACUGGCAAGCUUGAGGUUGGAAGAGGAGAGCGGAAUUCCCGGUGUAGUGGUGGAAUGCGUAGAUAUCGGGAGGAACACCAGUGGCGAAAGCGGCUCUCUGGUUCAAUACUGACACUGAGAUGCGAAAGACGUGGGGAGCGAACGGGAUUAGAUACCCGGUAGUCCACGCUGUAAACGAGUGGAUACUAGGUGUAGGGGGUCGAUUAA